GGGAUCGUGGCACAGUCGGUUAGCGCGCAGAUUUCAUGCCCCUGGGAGUAGUCUGAGGUCGUGAGUUCGAGCCUCACCGAUCCCA
Molecule: transfer RNA, 85 nt
Organism: Gaeumannomyces graminis
Lineage: Eukaryota; Fungi; Ascomycota; Sordariomycetes; Magnaporthales; Magnaporthaceae
Rfam family: tRNA
About the family: Transfer RNA (tRNA) molecules are approximately 80 nucleotides in length. Their secondary structure includes four short double-helical elements and three loops (D, anti-codon, and T loops).
Source: Rfam